AUCCAAAGGCUCAGCUCUUCCCACCAUCAUUUGGUACCUGGUGGUCACUGCCUUCUGUGGGAUGGUCUCCAGUAUCUGACAGUUGGAGAGGUGAGCCUGGGGGAGGAAGGAUGGCCCGUCAUUUCUUAAAAGGCAUUUUCAGUUUUGUGGCAGGAUGAGGGUGGGACGAUGGAGGCCAGGAGGCAAGAGCAGUUAGGGGGCCCUUGCAGUAGAUGAGGUCUUUGAAGGUCUGAAACUGAGCGUGGAGGGGAAGGAACCAAGACAGGUGGAGGGAGACGAUGCCCUGGGACUUGGUGGGAACUGGGGCGGAGAGGAAGCAGAGGGGGCCUGACUUGUGCGCAUGGAGGUGGGCACUGUUGCGGGAAGUGGAGAGGGAAGUCGGGGAUGUAUAUGUGUGUGCACGUGUGUGCACACUUGUGUAAGGAUGUCUUUUCUAUUUUAGACAAAAUAGAAAAGUAAAUGGGAUGUGGGAGAGAAUUAUACAAUAAUGUCCCAAAUGUGUGAUUUGAGUUUUAUGAUUUGGGAGAUUAAAAUAAAUUCAGACUUCUUGAUAUUAUUAUUUUUUAAUUUUUUUGCUUUUUAGGGCCACCCUCUUGGCAUAUGGAGGUUCCCAGGCUAGGGGUCAAAUCAGAGCUGUAGCCACUGGCCUACACCACAGCCACGGCAGUGCAGGAUCUGAGCCUUGUCUGCAAUCUAUACCACAGCUCACAGCAAUGCCAGAUCCUUAACCUACAGAGAGAGGCCAGGGAUUGAACCCACGUCCUCAUGGAUGCUAGUCAGGUUUGUUAACCACUGAGCUGUGAUAGAAACUACCAAUAUGUUUUCUUAACGUUCUUUUUAAAAAACUCUCUAAUCAUUGACCUGAACCUUCAGUGUAUAUGAACCCGGUAAAUAUUUGUGAAAUCAAAUGAAUAAAUGCAAUUAGCACCCUUUAUUUGACAGCGAAGUCAUAAACUAGAUUAAAGAUAUAGAAUUAACAUUAAUUUCAUUAAGGAAUAAGCAAGUGAAGAGUCUUCUGAAAAUACCUGGCUAAUUCUGGUUGACUUAACAUGUAUGCAAAUUAAGCUAUAAAUAACUACCAACACAGUGCUGGGAAAGUGCGUACUUGCCAAGGCAAGUCUUAGAUGGUGGGAAAUGGAAGCCUCUGCUGGUCAUUUUGGUUUAUAAGUGCCACGCUGAGCAGACUGCUUGGGUGGCAAAAUGGACCACGUGAGGAUGGGUUCAGUACUCUAAACAGGUGUGGCAAUGAUGCUAAGCUUAAGAGAGUCACCUAAACCACUGAGCUGUGUUGCGAUUAGUCCUGGAAAAUGUGAUUUUAACAAAGUCUGCAGAUCAGCAUGAAGGGAACCAAGGGGUUAGGGUGUCAGAAUCCCUAGAGAGAUUAUAUAAAAAUUAUAUAAACUUAAAAAAUCCCAAUGGCGGAGGGGACCUUUCCCUCAAUUUCUGUGAACAUAAAACUUCUCAGAAAAAUUGUUACUUUCCUUAAAAUGUUAUUGUGAAUAUAUGAAUGGUAUAACUCUGGGGAGUCAGAUAUAGUAUUGCUGUGAUGCUAUAUAAUAAUCUAUAUAAUAAUAUGGUAGUAUUGCCUCCUGUGGUAGCAUGAACAGGAAAAUCAUGUUGAGAAUUAGUGUCCUGUGUCAUAGAAAGUUGGGGCAGAAAAGAACCUAAAAUCUCCCAGUUUAGUUUCCCUGAAUGGGUCUUAGAGGAAACAGUUUUCCAGAGCUGUUAGGACUUUCCUUUAGAAUAUAUGUGGAGUUUUCUGAGGUCAGUAAAUUUUGGAAAUACAGCUCUUUAUAACUACUUUGUAGUGAUAAACACUAUUCUUUGUGUUUUGUUUGUUUUUGGCACAUUUAUCCACUAAUUCCAAGGAACACCAAUUUGGGAAAAAGUAAUCUAAGUCAAAAACAUCUCCAAGCAUGAGUUGUCACUCACCAGUGGGUUGUGAAAUCAGUGUAGGGCUUGCAGUCAUUUUUUUUUUUUUUAAUGAAAAAUAAUAGGAUGGAAUAGGAGAAUUGCCCAUAGGAGAAUAAAUGUUAUUUUGUGAAACUUUUGUUCCAGCUAUGUAUGUGGGUUUGUGUAAACUCAGUCAUAAUGAAAAAUCUAUUUCUUACUAUAGGCGAGGGCCACGUAUAUUUUGGAGAUCGCUGAUCUAAUUCAGUCCCUCCGUUGUGUAAGUGAAAAACCCACUGAGGCCCAUGUGGGUUUCACGUGGAGAGUGGGUGGCAGAUAGACUCUGAAUCUACUCUUCAUCCUCCUUCACCUGCACCAGUGCUCCAGCAGAGCCAUAAGUCAUCUGGUUUAAAAAGCAGCUCUGGAGUUCCCGUCGUGGCGCAGCAGAAACGAAUCCAACUAGGAACCAUGAGGCUGCGGGUUCGAUCCCUGGCCUUGCUCAGCAGAUUAAGGAUCCGGCGUUGCCGUGAGCUGUGGUAUAGGUGGCAGAAAAAGCAUGUGUGGCUGUGGCUGUGGUGUAGGCUGGCAGCUGUAGCUCUGAUUAGACCCCUAGCCUGGGAACCUCCAUACAUAGAAGGUGCGGCCCCAAAAGGACAAAAUAAAAAAAAAUAAAAA
This 2565-nucleotide long non-coding RNA is filed under the name Sus scrofa (pig). RNAcentral's name for it is "lncRNA (ENSSSCG00040057903.1)". The record is from RNAcentral. Lineage: Eukaryota; Metazoa; Chordata; Mammalia; Artiodactyla; Suidae.